UGAGGAAUAUUGGGCAAUGCCCGAAAGGGUGACCCAGCAACGCCGCGUGGAGGAUGAAGGUCGUAAGAUUGUAAACUCCUGUUAGAGGGGAAGAAUAACUAAGUUUGGAGCUUAGUAUGACUGUACCCUCAGAGAAAGCCCCGGCUAACUACGUGCCAGCAGCCGCGGUAAUACGUAGGGGCAAGCGUUGUCCGGAUUUACUGGGUGUAAAGGGCGCGCAGGCGGAAUGGAAAGUCAGUGGUGAAAUCCUACAGCUUAACUGUAGAACUGCCUUUGAUACUUUCAUUCUUGAGUUCGGGAGAGAGAGACGGAAUUCCAGGUGUAGUGGUGAAAUACGUAGAUAUCUGGAAGAACACCAGUUGCGAAGGCGGUCUCUUGGUCCGAUACUGACGCUGAGGCGCGAAAGCGUGGGGAGCAAACA
RNAcentral lists this ribosomal RNA (421 nucleotides) under uncultured bacterium. RNAcentral's name for it is "bacterial SSU rRNA". It matches the Rfam family "Bacterial small subunit ribosomal RNA", at positions 355 to 774 of the family's 1533-position model. The record is from RNAcentral.